Non-coding RNA from Flavobacteriaceae bacterium CG1_02_35_72, 107 nucleotides. Lineage: Bacteria; Pseudomonadati; Bacteroidota; Flavobacteriia; Flavobacteriales; Flavobacteriaceae. The record is from Rfam.
UUUGCACCGGCAAGUCCUACACAACCAGCUCCUUUGAAAUCCCCCAGGGUGGGAACACAGCAAGGGUACAAGGUCGUAGCGGUGUGAUGUAGGUCGCUUGCCAUUUU